AGUGAACGCUGGCGGUGGGCCUAACACAUGCAAGUCGAACGGCAGCACAGUACGUGCUUGCUCUUCCGGGUGGCGAGUUGCGGACGGGUGAGGAAUACAUCGGACUCUACUUUUUCGUGGGGGAUAACGUAGGGGAAGUUACGCUCAUAUCGCAUACGACCUUCGGGUGUAAGCAGGGGAUCUUCUCAGCUUGCGCGGUUGAAUGCGCCGAUGUCGGAUUAGCUGGUUGGCGGGGUACAGGCCCACCAAGGCGACGAUACGUGGCUGGACUGGGUGGAUGGUCAGCCACACUGGAACUGGGACACGGACCAUAGGCCUACGGGAGGGAGCAGUGGCGAAUAUUGGACAAUGGGCGCAAGCCUUAUCCAACCAUACCGAGUGGGUGAAGAAGACCUUCGGGUUGUAAAGCCCUUUUUUUGGGAGAGAAAAGCAUCAGGUUAAUACCCCGCUGUACUGACGGUACCCAAAGAAUAAGCACCGGCUAACUUCGUG
Molecule: ribosomal RNA, 492 nt
Filed under: uncultured bacterium
Lineage: Bacteria
Description: partial 16S ribosomal RNA
Rfam family: Bacterial small subunit ribosomal RNA
Source: RNAcentral